RNA transcript from Balaenoptera musculus (blue whale), 5001 nucleotides. It is a transcript of the gene named immunoglobulin like domain containing receptor 1, with no coding region annotated. The transcript has 9 exons. The record is from RefSeq and is a predicted model, not a curated record. Lineage: Eukaryota; Metazoa; Chordata; Mammalia; Artiodactyla; Balaenopteridae.
UCUUUGGAGAAGCGGUGCGCCCUGAACCGGCCGCUGAUGAAGACAGACACAGUGUCCCUGGAGCCCCUGAGCUGAAAGGGACCGGAGAGGGCCGGCAUGGGCCCCGAGCUGCCCGCACCUUGGCUGCUGCUCUUCACCUGGCUCCCAGCAGGGUGUGUGUCCUUGCUGGUGACAGUCCAGCACACGGAGCGCUACGUCACCCUGUUUGCCUCCGUCGUUCUCAAAUGUGACUACACCACCUCUGCCCAGCUCCAGGAUGUGGUGGUGACCUGGCGCUUCAAGUCCUUCUGCAAGGACCCCAUCUUUGAUUACUACUCUGCAUCAUACCAGGCGGCUUUAUCCCUGGGCCAGGACCCAUCCAAUGACUGCAAUGACAGCCAGCGGGAGGUUCGCAUCGUGGCCCAGAGGCGGGGGCAGAACGAGCCCGUGCUGGGGGUGGAUUACCGGCAGCGCAAGAUCACCAUCCAGAACCGAGCAGAUCUUGUGAUUAAUGAAGUGAUGUGGUGGGACCAUGGAGUGUAUUACUGCACCAUUGAGGCUCCAGGGGACACGUCAGGAGACCCAGAUAAGGAAGUGAAGCUCAUUGUCCUGCACUGGCUGACAGUGAUCUUCAUCAUCCUGGGAGCCCUCCUCCUGCUCCUGCUGAUUGGAGUGUGCUGGUGCCAGUGCUGUCCUCAGUACUGCUGCUGCUACCUCCGCUGCCCCUGCUGUCCCACCCGCUGCUGCUGCCCCGAGGAAGCCCUGGCCCACCACCGCUACAUGAAGCAGGCUCAGGCCCUAGGCCCUCAGAUGAUCGAAAAACCCCUGUACUGGGGGGCGGACAGGAGCUCCCAGUUUUCAUCUUAUCCAAUGAACCCACUGCUGCAGCGAGAUUUGUCCCUGCGAUCCAGCCUCCCAGAGGUGCCAGUGACCCAGACCACCGCUCACCCUCCCAUCACCAACGGUGUCCUAGAGUAUUUGGAGAAAGAGCUGCGGAACCUCAACCCAGCCCAGCCCCUGCCGGCUGACCUCCAAGGCAGAUCUGGCCAUCCCCGCAGCAUGCUGUCCUCCCUGGGCUCUGAGGUCGUGGAACGCAGAAUCAUCCACCUGCCCCCGCUGGUCAGAGACCUGCCAUCUUUGCGGAGGACCAGCAACUCCUCCCGCCAGCAGUGGCUCCCCCCGCCUCCCCCCGGACCCUGGGAUCUGAGGGAGGGGAGGAGGCAACACCGCUACUCUGAUUUCCAGCAGGAGCACCGGGACCCGGAGCCUCAGCGCUGGGCGUUGGAGCAAAGGGAGCUGGGCCGACUGCGGAGCGGAAGGCACCGCGGCUCCAGGCAGCGCGGGUCACCCACGCCCUGGUCAGACAGGGACAGCCUCAGCGACGGCCCCUCGUCCAGCGAGGCCCGCUGGCCGCCCAACCGCCCCCCUCUCCGGAGCCGCUACCCAGAGAGACCCCGCGGGCCCAGCCCCCGGGGCAGCGCCCGGGGCCACCAGAGGCGCCGGCACCGCAGCUACUCCCCUCCGCUGCCCUCCGGCCUCAGUUCCUGGAGCUCCGAGGAGGAGGAGGAGAAGGAGAGGCAGCCCCGGAACUGGGGGCCCCGCCGCCGCCGCCGCCGCUCGCGCUCCCCAAACUGGCCUGAGGAGAAGCCACCCAGCUACCGCUCGCUGGAUGUCACCCCAGGCAAGAAUGGCAGGAAAAAAGGGAGUGUGCAGAGGCGCUCGGAGAGAGAGAGCUCCCAUAGUGGAAGGAGUGUGGUCAUUUAGUCACCAGGCACAACACUGCUUCUGUGGCUACUUCUCAGCUCCUGCGUGUCAUCAGCAUCACCUAGAUUUCCAGCUGACUUGGGAGGGGCCAUUCCAGCUGACUUGAGAUGGACACCGCAAGUUUGUAACUAACAGUUUUGGCUUAGGUUCUGAGAAUCAAAUAGAAGAAUUUUAUAAACAAAAUUUGAGGAAUUAAUGACUGUAAUUUUAGCCUUGGUACACACCCUGCAUAUUUAGAUAGUCAGACUUGUAAUGAAUUCUAACUGGGAUGUGAUCCCUCAGGAACUUAGUAGCCUGAGUCUUCAACUAGGUUACACUGCUCAGAACUGUGGCCAUUCUCAAAGUGAGAACUCAGGAAUCUUUAAGAGGAAAUCAAACAUUUCCUGCUCCUCUUAGGAGCAGGAAAUCUAUGGAGUACUAUAGGGAAAUUUCCACGGAAACUUGUCUCCCCCUAUAGCAUAUCUAGAGGAUCCCUCCAUGUUACCAGUCCACUUUACUGCCCCCAAGCCUGGUCCUGAAUGCCUUUGAGGGUUCACUCAGAGAUGGCACAGGAAAUACUCCAGCAAUGUGCCCUCUCACAGGCUAUUUAUUGCGUGUGUAGAAAGUCACAGAGAAGCACUUUUGCACCAGUCUUAUUCCUGUCCUUUGUUUUCUUCUUGCCUUUUUUUUUUUUUUUUGGCCUAUAUGUAAUUUAUAUUUUCCUAUAUAACAUGCAUCCAUUAAAACCACUUUAAAUGCUUCUUGGGAACAACACAGUACAUAAGUAAAGAAGAAGUAAGUGAAACCUACUGGCCUGAGGAUUCUGCCCCAAACAUCUAUUUUGAUGCACUUGAUGAAAUUAAGCCUUCUUCCCGACUAAAGCUCAGAGAAGAGCCAGGCCAACCUGAUAAUUUUGGAGUGACCUUUCUCCUGGCACCACUCAGCCUUGCAGAGUUAUUCCCCAAGCAAAGGCAUCCAGGCAGGUUUUACUACUCAGUGCCCCAGGAGGAAGGGUCUGUGCCUCUCUGUAAUAGGCCCUACCUGUCUCUCUCAUUUUCCUCAGCCCCUUCUGGUGGCUUCAUCAAUCCAUUUGUGCUUCAUGUAGAGACUCUCCUUGAGCAGACUAAAUGACACAAGAGACAAGCAAAAGAUGACUCUGAAGGGUGCUAAGAAGAAGACGAUUUGGUUUGGGAACCCAGGACCAGAUGAUAACACAGAGGCAGGGCAUCUUGUGUCCCCCAACCAACAGAAGGCAGCCACCCAGACCUGAUGUUUUUCUGACUUCCCACUUGGCAACAGAAAGUAGUCUAGUAGCUUGUUCUUCCCGCUGUAGUGGGAGUCCCUCUGACAACCUCAGGCAAGGGGGAACAACUGGGAGUCCUGCCAAAAAUAAGUGACCAGGGGAAGCAUUCUCCUACCCUGCUGGGCCAGAGACUCCUCUCUUCUAUGGAGAGAUACUGAUGUGGAUGGGAGGAACCAGUAAGAGACACCCAGGUAAAGCAGGUGGCCCACCUGGGGAAGCCUCUUUGUCCCCAAGGGCCAGAGACUCUCCUCCUCUGCCCAGAGACACUAGGGCUGACUGGCGGAAUCAUGAAAAAGAACCUGUCACAGCUAGCAGCCCUGUAGCUAGCAGCCUGGUCCCAGAAAUCACUUUAUCUCUCCUCCCUGCCCAGAGAAACCUGGGUAGCUGGGGGGGGGGGGCUGGGGGGGAUUACUAAUAGAAGGAUUUCCUCACCUGCCUCCCUCAGGCAGUCACAAAGUCUCUGAAAAUUAAACUGUUGUUGGAAUCACAGCCCACAAAAGUAGGCUAAGACUCAUGUGUUAAACUUAAAUAGAGUAAAUUCGUGUAAAAUAAAAUAUUUAAAUAGGUCCCAGAUUGUCCUAACACAAUAGACCAAAUGUCCAGGAUAUAAAUCAAGAACCUAGAAAAUCACAACUUGAAUGAAAAGUGAAAUCAACUGAUGCCAACACUGAGAGGAAUCAGAUGUUGGAGUUAUCUGAUAAGAAUUUUAAGGCAGACAUUAUAAAGAUCCUACAACAAUCAAUUACAAAUUGUCUUAAAUUAAAAUGUAGAAAAUCCCAGAAAAGAAAUAGAAGUUAUGCAAAAAAGAAACAGGUGGAAAUUAUAGAACUGAAAAAUACAAUAGAGAUUUAAAACUUGCUGGAUGGGCUCAACAGAAGACUGGAGAUGAUGAAGAAUAGAAUCAGUGAACAUGAGGACAAAACAGUAGAAUUCACCCAGUAUGAAUAAUGGAAAAGAGAUUGGGAAAAAAAUGACCAGAGCCUCAGGGACCUGUGGAACAAUAACAAAAUAUCCAACAUUCAUUUCAUUGGAGUCCCAGAAAGUAAAGGAGAAAGAGUGGGGAAAUGAAUAAGCAUUCAAAGAAACAAUGACUGAAAACUUCCCAAAUUUGAUGAAUGACAUCAACAUAGAGAUCCAAGAAGCUGAAUGAACUCUAAACAGGAUAAACCCAAAGAAUCCGUGCCAAUACACAUCAUAAUUAAACUUUUGAAAACUAAAGACAAAGAAAAAAAUCCUGAAAGCAGCCAGAGAGAAACAAUGCAUUCCCUAUAGGGAAACACCAAUUUGAAUGGAUUUCUCAUGUGAAAUCAUGAAAAAGGAAAUGGCCAAAUAUUUUUUUAAGCACUGAAAGAAAAUAACUGUUGACCCAUAAUUUUAUAUCUGGCAAAACUAGUUUUCAGAAAUGAAGGGAAAAUAAAAACAUUCACAGAUGAAUGAAAACUAAAAGAUUUUGUGACUAGCAGAUACACCCUGGAAAGACUGGACAAAGGAAGUUCUUCAAACAGAAAGAAAAUGAUAAAAGGAAACUUAAGCAUCAGAACGCAAGAAGAAACAAUAGAAAGAUCGGAAAUAUGAGUCCAUACAGUAGACAUUUUUUGAGUAUUACAUGGUAUUAUAAUUUGUUUCAAUCAUAAAAUAUGAUUUAUAAAACCCAAAAGGAAAAAAAUCUCACAAAAGAAAUAGAAGUUAUGCAAUGAGUUAACAAUGAUAUGUAAAGGUGGGGAAGGUAAAGAGACCUAAUUGGAAGUGAGGUUUCUAUAUUUCAUUUUAAAUUGUAAACACUGUGAUACCAAGUACAGAGUUACAAGCAGCACCCAGAGCAACCACUAUGAAAACUGCAGAGAUGAACUCAAAAGUGCUAUAAACUAAGAUGGAAUCCUAAAACAUGUUCAAAUAACCUGCAGAAAGGCAAGAAAAAAGAAUAAAGAGCAACAACAACCAAAGGAAACAAGUAGAAACUAAAUAAUAAAAUAGCA